ACGCUGGCGGCGUGCUUAACACAUGCAAGUCGAACGGAAAGGCCCUGCUUUUGUGGGGUGCUCGAGUGGCGAACGGGUGAGUAACACGUGAGUAACCUGCCCUUGACUUUGGGAUAACUUCAGGAAACUGGGGCUAAUACCGGAUAGGAGCUCCUGCUGCAUGGUGGGGGUUGGAAAGUUUCGGCGGUUGGGGAUGGACUCGCGGCUUAUCAGCUUGUUGGUGGGGUAGUGGCUUGCCAAGGCUUUGACGGGUAGCCGGCCUGAGAGGGUGACCGGCCACAUUGGGACUGAGAUACGGCCCAGACUCCUACGGGAGGCAGCAGUGGGGAAUAUUGCACAAUGGGCGGAAGCCUGAUGCAGCAACGCCGCGUGCGGGAUGACGGCCUUCGGGUUGUAAACCGCUUUCGCCUGUGACGAAGCGUGAGUGACGGUAAUGGGUAAAGAAGCACCGGCUAACUACGUGCCAGCAGCCGCGGUGAUACGUAGGGUGCGAGCGUUGUCCGGAUUUAUUGGGCGUAAAGGGCUCGUAGGUGGUUGAUCGCGUCGGAAGUGUAAUCUUGGGGCUUAACCCUGAGCGUGCUUUCGAUACGGGUUGACUUGAGGAAGGUAGGGGAGAAUGGAAUUCCUGGUGGAGCGGUGGAAUGCGCAGAUAUCAGGAGGAACACCAGUGGCGAAGGCGGUUCUCUGGGCCUUUCCUGACGCUGAGGAGCGAAAGCGUGGGGAGCGAACAGGCUUAGAUACCCUGGUAGUCCACGCUGUAAACGGUGGGUACUAGGUGUGGGGUCCAUUCCACGGGUUCCGUGCCGUAGCUAACGCUUUAAGUACCCCGCCUGGGGAGUACGGCCGCAAGGCUAAAACUCAAAGGAAUUGACGGGGCCCCGCACAAGCGGCGGAGCAUGCGGAUUAAUUCGAUGCAACGCGUAGAACCUUACCUGGGUUUGACAUGGAUCGGGAGUGCUCAGAGAUGGGUGUGCCUCUUUUGGGGUCGGUUCACAGGUGGUGCAUGGCUGUCGUCAGCUCGUGUCGUGAGAUGUUGGGUUAAGUCCCGCAACGAGCGCAACCCUUGUUCACUGUUGCCAGCACGUUAUGGUGGGGACUCAGUGGAGACCGCCGGGGUCAACUCGGAGGAAGGUGGGGAUGACGUCAAGUCAUCAUGCCCCUUAUGCCCAGGGCUUCACGCAUGCUACAAUGGCUGGUACAGAGAGUGGCGAGCCUGUGAGGGUGAGCGAAUCUCGGAAAGCCGGUCUCAGUUCGGAUUGGGGUCUGCAACUCGACCUCAUGAAGUCGGAGUCGCUAGUAAUCGCAGAUCAGCAACGCUGCGGUGAAUACGUUCCCGGGGCUUGUACACACCGCCCGUCAAGUCAUGAAAGUUGGUAACACCCGAAGCCGGUGGCCUAACCGUUGUGGGGGAGCCGUCGAAGGUGGGACUGGUGAUUAGG
This 1439-nucleotide ribosomal RNA is filed under the name uncultured organism. RNAcentral describes it as "16S ribosomal RNA". It matches the Rfam family "Bacterial small subunit ribosomal RNA". The record is from RNAcentral.